RNAcentral lists this long non-coding RNA (606 nucleotides) under Olea europaea subsp. europaea. The record is from RNAcentral. Lineage: Eukaryota; Viridiplantae; Streptophyta; Magnoliopsida; Lamiales; Oleaceae.
CAAAUUUUGAGUUCAUGUGUAAAAUUAUCUUAUUGAGAGUAUAUGAAAUUAACAUCUAUACUUCUAUUUAUCGGAGGUUCCCUCUCUUUUUGUAACUUUAACUAAUGAACUAAUCUCUUGGGUUUGUAGGUGGUGUACCAUUUCGAAUUUCGAAUUUUGAUGCUGUUGAUUCAUAUAGCGUAUGAGAAGUUGGAGAUCAGAUGGGAGAAUAUUGUUGAAAAUGACUUUGGACAAAAAUAAAUUUUAAAUAAUAAAGCUCAAACGGAGGCUUAGCUUCCACUUUAAAAAUCACUUAUUAACGAUCAAAGUUCAUUUUCAACUAUACAAUUCAAUGAUUUCACAAGCACUAUUUACUUAUUCACCAUUGAUUUAUACAUAUUUUGAAUUUAAACCGAUUGUAACAAAGAAGAAUGGAUAAAAGUGGCAAAACACCACAACCAUUAUACAUCAAAGGGGCAUGUUAUGGCCACAUCAGCAAGUAUGUUACCCGGAGUUAUGCACCAUUACCAUAUUGAUUUUACCAAAAUUGUGUUAGAUUAAUGCUUGACAAUAAUUUAUUGGUAGUUGAACCAAAAGUAUUUUUCAAUCAUCAAAUCACAAUUUGCC